This 647-nucleotide ribosomal RNA is filed under the name uncultured Actinomycetes bacterium. RNAcentral describes it as "bacterial SSU rRNA". It matches the Rfam family "Bacterial small subunit ribosomal RNA", at positions 242 to 910 of the family's 1533-position model. Lineage: Bacteria; Bacillati; Actinomycetota; Actinomycetes. The record is from RNAcentral.
CAGCUUGUUGGUGAGGUAAUGGCUCACCAAGGCGUCGACGAGUAGCCGGCCUGAGAGGGUGACCGGCCACACUGGGACUGAGACACGGCCCAGACUCCUACGGGAGGCAGCAGUGGGGAAUAUUGCACAAUGGGCGAAAGCCUGAUGCAGCAACGCCGCGUGAGGGACGACGGCCUUCGGGUUGUAAACCUCUUUUAGCAAGGAAGAAGCGAAAGUGACGGUACUUGCAGAAAAAGCGCCGGCUAACUACGUGCCAGCAGCCGCGGUAAUACGUAGGGCGCAAGCGUUAUCCGGAAUUAUUGGGCGUAAAGAGCUCGUAGGCGGUUUGUCGCGUCUGCUGUGAAAACCCGAGGCUCAACCUCGGGCCUGCAGUGGGUACGGGCAGACUAGAGUGCGGUAGGGGAGAUUGGAACUCCUGGUGUAGCGGUGGAAUGCGCAGAUAUCAGGAAGAACACCGAUGGCGAAGGCAGAUCUCUGGGCCGUAACUGACGCUGAGGAGCGAAAGGGUGGGGAGCAAACAGGCUUAGAUACCCUGGUAGUCCACCCCGUAAACGUUGGGAACUAGUUGUGGGGUCCAUUCCACGGAUUCCGUGACGCAGCUAACGCAUUAAGUUCCCCGCCUGGGGAGUACGGAAUCUCUAGAGGAU